UUAGCAUGGAAUAAUAAAAUAGGACGUGUGGUUCUAUUUUGUUGGUUUCUAGGACCGCCGUAAUGAUUAAUAGGGACAGUCGGGGGCAUCAGUAUUCAAUUGUCAGAGGUGAAAUUCUUGGAUUUAUUGAAGACUAACUACUGCGAAAGCAUUUGCCAAGGAUGUUUUCAUUAAUCAGGAACGAAAGUUAGGGGAUCGAAGACGAUCAGAUACCGUCGUAGUCUUAACCAUAAACUAUGCCGACUAGGGAUCGGACGAUGUUAAAAAUUGACUCGUUCGGCACCUUACGAGAAAUCAAAGUGCUUGGGCUCCAGGGGGAGUAUGGUCGCAAGGCUGAAACUUAAAGAAGUUGACGGAAGGGCACCACCAGGGGUGGAGCCUGCGGCUUAAUUUGACUCAACACGGGGAAACUCACCAGGUCCAGACACAAUGAGGAUUGACAGAUUGAGAGCUCUUUCUUGAUUUUGUGGGUGGUGGUGCAUGGCCGUUCUUAGUUGGUGGAGUGAUUUGUCUGCUUAAUUGCGAUAACGAACGAGACCUUAACCUGCUAACUAGCCCGUAUUGCUUUGGCAGUACGCUGGCUUCUUAGAGGGACUAUCGGCUCAAGCCGAUGGAAGUUUGAGGCAAUAACAGGUCUGUGAUGCCCUUAGAUGUUCUGGGCCGCACGCGCGCUACACUGACGGAGCCAGCGAGUACUCCCUUGGCCGAAAGGCCUGGGUAAUCUUGUUAAACUCCGUCGUGCUGGGGAUAGAGCAUUGCAAU
Molecule: ribosomal RNA, 762 nt
Filed under: uncultured Sordariomycetes
Lineage: Eukaryota; Fungi; Ascomycota; Sordariomycetes
Description: SSU rRNA
Rfam family: Eukaryotic small subunit ribosomal RNA
Source: RNAcentral